UCUUUCUCCGCCGGCGACCGGCGCGCGGGUGAGUAACACGUAUGCAACCUCGCCCCUGUCAGGGGGACAACCCGCCGAAAGGCGGGCUAAACCCGCGUACAUGCCACCGGGGCAUCCCGGAGGCAGGAAAGGCUUCGGCCGGACAGGGAUGGGCAUGCGGCGCAUUAGGCAGUAGGCGGGGUAACGGCCCACCUAACCGACGAUGCGUAGGGGUUCUGAGAGGAAGGUCCCCCACACUGGUACUGAGACACGGACCAGACUCCUACGGGAGGCAGCAG
This 278-nucleotide ribosomal RNA is filed under the name uncultured bacterium. RNAcentral's name for it is "partial 16S ribosomal RNA". It matches the Rfam family "Bacterial small subunit ribosomal RNA", at positions 78 to 354 of the family's 1533-position model. The record is from RNAcentral.